Catharus ustulatus (Swainson's thrush) is the source of this 766-nucleotide long non-coding RNA. RefSeq lists it as uncharacterized. NCBI's taxonomy places the organism in Eukaryota, Metazoa, Chordata, Aves, Passeriformes, Turdidae. The transcript is spliced from 3 exons. The record is from RefSeq and is a predicted model, not a curated record.
UACAGGUCAGGAGAUGCAUACCAAAGAAAUAAACAGUGAACUGGACCAUAAUGACAGCUAACGUUCAAACGUCCUUGAAUUUUUUAAAUUUCUAUCCAAACACAUUUUGUCAUUUUGAAUGGGUUGGGGGUUUUUUUUGUAUAAAAUUGGAGCAAUUCUUUCCCGUAAUGAAAUUUUGCAAAGUAGGUACAAACUAUGCCUCAUUAUUAUAAGCUGCAUCAAUAACUUUGCUCAGAAAGAUACUUAUGUUCUUUCCCUUUAUUUUUUUAAACUCUUUAAAUUACAGCUUUGGAAUAUUAUAAGAAUAUAAUUUGAUGCAACUUAAGAACUCAGAAUAAUAACUAGUUUCUAAAAAACAUAUUUAAUAAUGCUGUAUUUAUCUGUAGACAAGAUGGUGGUUAAGCUGUUAAUGAAAUGCAGAUGGUCCUGUUUUAAAGUACAAAUGCUUCUUUACUCAAUAUGCUAAGCUUUAGAGGAGUUUUAAUAUAAUCUCUAAAGGUUGAGAAUGAUAUAGUAUUUGUAAAAUGAGUGAAUUGUGAAAGAAACCUUGAUUGUUUAUGUGUCAUUGAAGAAUUUACUAGGAAAAUUAGUCAAAGGCCUCUCGGGGGACUUAGCAUUUUGCUACAGAUAAGGUGAAGAUAAUUUUUUUCAAGCACAGAAAUCUGAAAAUCUUCAUCCUUGUGUUGCAGAUUAAGAACAUCAGGUGCAUCAUGUUGAGUGUUGAGGGUAAAAAAUGAAAAAGCAUCCAUCAUGUCCAGCUUCUCUA